Long non-coding RNA from Arachis stenosperma, 655 nucleotides. RefSeq lists it as uncharacterized. The record is from RefSeq and is a predicted model, not a curated record. Lineage: Eukaryota; Viridiplantae; Streptophyta; Magnoliopsida; Fabales; Fabaceae. The transcript has 4 exons.
CCACGCUGAAAGCUUGAUGAGGGAGGAGGAAGACCAAACCCUCACUCAAUAAUUCAACCUCACAUAUUUUUUGAUCCGUAGCUCCGAUUGACGAGUAAUCAGUAGCCACAUGUUCGUCUCGAAAUUCUCUACAAAAUUUACCCCAUAAAUUGGUUCGAAUUAGCUUCGUGGACUUGCCGGGUCUUGUCCAAUUUUGUGUUGUUUGGAUUGUGUACUUUGGAAACAAAUUGGUGGUGUUGGAGAAUUGGUAUUGGACUCUGGGGAGUCGGAGACCUAUUUGGUGAGUUUUUGGAAACUUGGGUAUCAUGGAACGAUAACAAAUUAUGACGUUCUGGGUUUUACGAGGAAUCAGCCAAGGGAAAAAUAAAUGGGAACCCGUUACGAGGACGCCAGACGGGUGGCAAUUUGCUAAACGCCGCCUCCAUGAUAUCCAUUGCCAUCUCUACUCGUGAGGUAAUCUUUCUUCAUUAUUCCUACUAUCUAAGUCCCAAACCAUAAAUAUCAUACCACAAAUUUAGAAUCCUAUUCGAUUUCAAUCUCAUGACAAAAAGUGCCAUCGUCCUUUGGUGUCACUCCACCACCACCAUUCUAACUUUCUUCCACUUGUUUCCUUUGGUGUAUAUUGUGAAUUGAACUAAUAAGGGGUAAAUGGAUA